RNAcentral lists this ribosomal RNA (330 nucleotides) under uncultured Chloroflexota bacterium. RNAcentral's name for it is "bacterial SSU rRNA". It matches the Rfam family "Bacterial small subunit ribosomal RNA", at positions 28 to 354 of the family's 1533-position model. The record is from RNAcentral. Lineage: Bacteria; Bacillati; Chloroflexota.
GAUGAACGUUGGCGGUGUGCCUAAUACAUGCAAGUCGAACGGAGAUAAUAGCAAUAUUGUCUUAGUGGCGAACGGGUGAGUAACGCGUUGGUGAUCUGCCCCGAAGUGGGGAAUAACAAUUCGAAAGAAUUGCUAAUACCCCAUGUGAUCUUAGAGAUUUGAUGCUCUUUGAUUAAAGGAUUUAUUCGCUUCGGGAGGAGCCUGCGUCCCAUCAGCUAGUUGGUAAGGUAAUGGCUUACCAAGGCGAUGACGGGUAGGGGACCUGAGAGGGUGGCCCCCCACAAUAGGAACGUAGAAACAACGGUCCGACUACACCUACCGGGUGGGCAG